Molecule: ribosomal RNA, 685 nt
Filed under: uncultured bacterium
Lineage: Bacteria
Description: bacterial SSU rRNA
Rfam family: Bacterial small subunit ribosomal RNA
Source: RNAcentral
GAUAACCUACCGUAUACAGGGGGAUAACACUUAGAAAUAGGUGCUAAUACCGCAUAAGCGCACGGUUCCGCAUGGAACAGUGUGAAAAACUCCGGUGGUAUACGAUGGAUCCGCGUCUGAUUAGCCAGUUGGCGGGGUAACGGCCCACCAAAGCGACGAUCAGUAGCCGGCCUGAGAGGGUGAACGGCCACAUUGGGACUGAGACACGGCCCAAACUCCUACGGGAGGCAGCAGUGGGGAAUAUUGCACAAUGGGGGAAACCCUGAUGCAGCGACGCCGCGUGAGUGAAGAAGUAUUUCGGUACGUAAAGCUCUAUCAGCAGGGAAGAAAAUGACGGUACCUGACUAAGAAGCCCCGGCUAACUACGUGCCAGCAGCCGCGGUAAUACGUAGGGGGCAAGCGUUAUCCGGAUUUACUGGGUGUAAAGGGAGCGUAGACGGCAGCGCAAGUCUGGAGUGAAAUCCCAUGGCUUAACCAUGGAACUGCUUUGGAAACUGUGCAGCUAGAGUGCAGGAGAGGUAAGCGGAAUUCCUAGUGUAGCGGUGAAAUGCGUAGAUAUUAGGAGGAACACCAGUGGCGAAGGCGGCUUACUGGACUGUAACUGACGUUGAGGCUCGAAAGCGUGGGGAGCAAACAGGAUUAGAUACCCUGGUAGUCCACGCCGUAAACGAUGAUUACUAGGUGU